RNAcentral lists this transfer RNA (61 nucleotides) under Chrysotila carterae. It matches the Rfam family "tRNA", at positions 6 to 65 of the family's 71-position model. Rfam says of the family: Transfer RNA (tRNA) molecules are approximately 80 nucleotides in length. Their secondary structure includes four short double-helical elements and three loops (D, anti-codon, and T loops). The record is from RNAcentral. Lineage: Eukaryota; Haptophyta; Isochrysidales; Isochrysidaceae.
UAUAUUUUAAUGGAAAAAAUGACGGAUUUCGGCUUUGUAGUUGCAAGUUCGAGUCUUGCUA